Molecule: long non-coding RNA, 5607 nt
Filed under: Olea europaea subsp. europaea
Lineage: Eukaryota; Viridiplantae; Streptophyta; Magnoliopsida; Lamiales; Oleaceae
Source: RNAcentral
AAAUACCGUGACCUUACUCGUUCGAACAUUCCCUUGAUCUAAGACCGCGAGUUUUACGAAACCCUGGGAAUCUAGAAUGGUGUAUACUGUCUGUGACCCUAGGAUUACUUUGUGUGGUUUGAUUGUGGUUUGUACAUUUUUUGACUGUUGUGUAAAGAUGACAACUCACAACUUUGAUUUGGGAAUUUUUAAUGGAAAGGGUGGCUUUGCUAUUUGGCAACAAAAAAUGAAGGGCAUUUUAGUCCAACAAAAGGUUUCAAAGGCCAUUGAAGGCAAUUUUUCAACUGAUUUUUUCACAAGAGCAAAGAGAAGAAGUCGAUGAGCUUGUUUAUACCUCAAUUAUUUUACACUUGUCUAACACCAUUUUAAGAAAGGUGGGUAAACUGAAAACCACUAAAGAAUUUUGGAAAAAAUUAGAAGACUUGUAUUUGUUUAAGUCUACAUCGAAUAAACUUUACCUGCUUGAACGUUUUUUUAGUUUCAAAAUGGAUCCUUCAAAAGAUCUUGAUAACAAUUUAAACGUGUUUAACAAAUUGGUGCAAGGUAUAGUUAAUUGUGAUGAGACUUGUCCGAAACUUAUAAGGCUAUAAUUUUGCUCAAUGUAAUUCCUGAUUCCUAUAAGGAAGUUAAGAACGCCAUUAAGUAUGGUAGAGACACGUUAACACCUAAAAUUGUCAUAGAUUCCCUUAGAAGUAAAGAAAUGAAAAUUAGGGCUGAAAAACAUGAUAAGAGGAACGGUGAGGUACAUAUGAUGCGGGGUAGAACUCAAUUUAGGCAAAAUAGUCAUGAUGGAUAUCAAACUAGUGGCGAGUCAAGUGGUAAUGGAUGGAAAAAGAAGAGCAAAUAUAGGUCUAGAUAAAAAUCUAGGACUAAGGCGAGAAAAUGCUAUGAUUGUGGAAACACAUGACAUUUUAUAAAAGAUUGUCAUAAGGAGAAAGGUAAGCUAAAGGUUAAGGAGAGAGAUAAGGUAAAUGUGUUAGCAUUUACUUCCGAUAUAAAUGGUGGUGAGGUCUAUAUGAUUACAAGUCCAGUUGUAUACACUGCUGAAUUAAAUCUAACUGCUAAUUUCCACAAGCAUGAGUGGAUACUUGACUCUGGUGCAUCUUUUCAUGUGACGUCUGAUAAGAAUUGGUUUUAUAAGUUGCAUGAAUCUAAUGUUGGGCAUGUUGUACUGUGUGAUAACUUUGCCUAUACUUUUGUUGGAAUUGGUGACAUAAACGUAAAAUUUGACACAGGUUUUGUGUAUACGUUAAAGAACGUUAGAUAUAUUCCUGAAUUGUCUAGGAAUCUGAUUUCAGUAGGGAGACUUGAGAAGGAUGACUUUACUGGUAAAAUUGGAAAUUGUAUGCUAAAAAUGAUCAAGUGUGCUUUAGUUUCCAUUAAGGGAAUUAAGAAAAACGAUAUAUAUAUAUAUUGCUACUAGGGAAGUGAUUAGAGGUGUGAAUUCCUCUAUCUCCUCUGCCAAGAUUGAUCACACACACACACGACAUAAUAGACUUGCUCACGUAGGGGUCAAGGGACUUAAGCUACUUAACGAAAAAGGUGCUUUUGGUAAUGACUGUGUGUUAGAUUUGCCAUCUUGUGAUCAUUGUGUGCUUAGUAAGUAUCAUAAAAUUUCUUUCUCCACGAGUGUUAAUAGAGCUAAAGGUAUGCUCGAAUAUGUGCACUCUGAUCUAUGGGGUCUUGCUAGUAAUCCCACAUCGGGUGAGAAUAGGUAUUUCCUGUUUAUUAUCGAUGACUACACUAGGAAAGUGUGUGUCUAUCUUUUGAAGGAUAAAUCUGAGACCUUUAAUAGUUUUAACAAUUGGAAAAGACAAGUGGAAAACCAAACUGGCAAGAAAAUCAAAUUUUUAGGACAGAUAACGGUCUAAAAUUUCGUAAUAAAGAAUUUGAUAGUAUGUGUAAAGAAAGCGGUAUAACUAAAUAUAAGACUGUUCCUUACACUCCUCAGCAAAAUGGGGUAGCAGAAAGAAUGAAUAUGACCAUACUUGAUAAAGUAUUUUACAUGGUGAUUAGUUCUGGUGUUCCCAAGUCAUUUUGGGGUGAGGCUGUUAUGACCGCUUGUUAUUUGAUUAAUCUAACUCCUUCUGCUACAUUGAAUGGUGACACUCCGCAUGAGAGAUGGUCGGGUAAACUGAGUGAUUACUCGAUACUUAGAAAUUUUGGCAGUGCAGCUUUUUCUCAUCAAAGUGGGGGUAAGUUGGAACCUAGAGUUAGGAAGUGUGUCUUUCUAAGAUACCCCGAGGGUGUUAAGGGUUAUAGGUUAUGGGAUAGAAGCCAAAAAGGGGUUAAAAUCAUCAUAAGUAGAGAUAUCACGUUUAACGAAAAUGAGAUGUCGUGUAUUAAAGGGGAAACUGAACCUGAGAGUGAAGCUGAACCAGGUGAAGAGAGAUACCAGUUUAAGGUGGAGUUAGGAAAACUCAGUCCACCUGCCCCUACUGUUUCAAAUGAGGUGGAUACUCAAACUCAGGAACCCGAGGUGGAGAAUAGUAACGUAAUAGUGACAGAAGAGCACUAUGAGGAAGAAAAUCCUUUAGCUAACUAUACUUAGUUAGGGAUGGAGAGAGGAGACAAACGAGAUAACCUAGAAGGUUCGGUUUUGAAUCUGAAUUAGCUUUCGCCCAUGCUAGUUAUGAAGAACUAGCUGAUAAAGAGCCAAAGACCUUUGAAGAGGCAAUAGGCAGUGAUCAAUCUAAUGAAUGACUUAAGGCAAUCAAAGAAGAGAUGAGUUCUCUAGAAAAGAAUCAUACUUGGGAGCUAGUACCUAGGCCUAAGAACAAAUCAAUUGUUGAUUGCAAAUGAGUCUUGAAGGUUAAGGAAGGUUCUAGCAGCUCGAAACUCCUAAGGUUUAAAGUUAGGUUAGUAGCUAAAGGCUAUACACAGAAGGAGGACGUUGAUUAUAAUGAAAUUUUCUCACCAGUUGUUAAGUACACCACUAUUAGGGUCAUGCUCGCAUUGGUUGCACACUUUGACUGGGAACUUGAACAACUUGACGUAAAAACUGUUUUUUUACAUGGUGAGCUUGAUGAACAAAUUUUCAUGAAUCAACCAAAAGGUUUUAAGAAUAAGUCAAAACCUGAUUAUGUGUGUUUUCUGAGAAGAUUCUUGUAUGGGUUAAAACAAUCUCCUAGACAGUGGUACAAGAGGUUUGAUUCCUUUGUACUCACUAUAGGGUUCCAAAGAAGUAAAUUUGAUCACUGCCUGUAUUUUUAACACAAUGAGACUGAUGAUAAUUAUCUAUUUUUGUUGCUCUAUGUGGACGACAUGCUUUUGAUUGGAUCAUCCUCUAAUUGGAUAAAUAACAUAAAAGCAAAAUUAAGUGGUGAAUUUGACAUGAAAGACCUAAAUAAGGCUAAGAGAAUCUUAGGUAUUGAAAUCGAAAGAAAUAGGUCAAAUUUUGUAUUGUUUUUGCAUCAGUCUCCAUACAUAUACAAAGUAUUGAAAAAAUUUAAUAUGAGUGAUUGCAAACCUGUCACGUUGCCUCUUGCUAAUCAUUUUGUUUUAUCGAAGGAACAAUCCCCUUGCAAUGAGCGUGAAGUAGAAUACAUGAGUAGAGUGCCUUACUCUAAUGUGAUUGGUUCCAUAAUGUAUUUGAUGGUUUGCACUAGACCGAAUUUAGGUUUUGCUGUUAGUACUCUCAGUAGAUAUAUGGCUAAUCCGGCACUGAACAUUGGGAAGUACUAAAGUGGCUAUUAAAGUACUUGAAGAGUACGAGUGACGUAGGUUUAAAGUUUAGUGCUAAUAAAGAAGAUAUAAAAUUAAAGGGUUUUAUAGAUGCUGACUACGCGAGAGAUAGGGAUGGUAGGAAAUCUACUUCGUCUUACGUGUUUACCUUAUCUAAUUCAUGUGUUAGUUGGAAAUCACAGUUACAACAUAUUGUUGUACUAUUCACUACAGAAUCAGAAUAUAUUGCUACCACUGAAGCUAUUAAAGAAGCUCUACGGUUUAGUGGCCUUCUUCAUGAACUAUGUGUCUUGAAUGAUUAUAUGGUAGUAUAUUCUGAUAAUCAGUCAUCUAUAUAUUUAUGUAAGAACCCCGUUUUUCACGAGCCCACUAAAUACAUUGAUGUUAGACUUCACUUCAUUAGAGAUAUAGUAUCUCAAGAGGUGGUAAGACUUGAAAAGGUCCACACCUACUACAACCCCUCUGAUAUGGGGACGAAGGUACUGCCAUUGACAAAGUUUAGAAGUUACAAGGAACUUCUAAACAUUGGUAGGUAAAUGAUUUCCAAUUUUAUCGGUUUUCUAUUAGAGGUGUCACUAAUGGGAGAUUUUUUAUUUUUUUUUUAUUUUUUUUUUCUGCAGGUCCUUGGACACCAAGGUGGAGGUUGUUAUGCAAUUUGUUGUCAAACGACCCCCGGAACUAUGAUGUAACCUCGGUUCUAUUAUCAAUCGACCUUGGUCAUAUGAUUGAUUAGUAUAUUUACAUAAUUAUCGAGACAACUCAAUCCACAUUCCUAUGGACCGUUCAAAGCAACCUAUUGUUAAUAGUGUUGCUCACGGUUCGUCUCAUUUCCUUGGAAGGCUAUGUUAUUAAUUUGAAGCCCAUUAAUAUUGAGUCGAGCGUUGUUUGGUCCACUAAAUAACCCUAACCUAACUUACCUUGUUUGGAUAUUUUACUUGGCUUAUAUUCUUGUCUUCCUCUCGGCCUCUAAUGUAGAAUGCCCAACCUCUCUCUGUGAGACUCACCUCUAGGUUUUCAUCUCUUCUUUGUGACCUUUGUGAUUAAUUGCUGGUGGGCAUAUUAUUGUACUUCAUCUUCCCAACUAUAGCAACCGGAAGUGGGGCGUCCUUGGUGGUGGUAUUGGAGUUGUCUCAAUCCUUGGUGGUGUCGACUAAAUAGGUGAAAUUGAGCUCGAUUUGAACUUGGUGUUUGCUGGAAAUAGGCACUACACUCCUAAAUUGUUUUCUUGUAUUCAUUGUUUCUAAAAUAUUUGUCUUAUUCUAUCAAUCUUCAGAGAUAGAAUAUGACCUCUCUUAUGUUCUCUCCUCUUUGUAUUUUGGGUUGUCUUCGCUAGUGUACAAGUUAGCCAACUUAUUUGUUUUAUUAUAUCCUGGAGGAAAUUUUCGUUUUAGCAUAAGUACAUCACAUUUUAAUGGGGGCAAAUACUAUCUUAACGAGAACAACUGAGCCAUGGGCCUUGAAACAUUUCCAUUCAAGUAUAUUUGUAGCUGUUCAAGAGGUUUCUUCCACUACAAGUUGGGUAUGAUUACUACACUGAAGAGUUCAGCACCAACACAAAAAAAAAAAAUAAUAAUAAUAAAUAAAAAAUAAAAAAAAUAAAAAAAUAAAUAAUAAACCCAACCCUACAGCACUAAGAAUAAAAGAAUCUAAGUACUCCCAGUAAAUGUUGAUGUUGGUAAUCAUCUGAUUGUCUACAGUUGUACGUGUCGAAACUUGAAACAAAAUUAGAAAUUUUAGAAUUUGAAAACCUAAAUUCCUUUAUUACCAAGAUCCUCCAUAUCAAAUUACCAAGAAAAUUAAUAAUGCGGAACAUACCUUAAUUUUUAAGAAAUGAUUAUUUAUUAAUUUGAAUCAUCUGCAUCUGCAUUAAAUAAUUUCAAUUCUCAUAAACUUCAAAUAAUUCAAAUUGAACAAAGAUUUCAU